GGGGUAUAGCUCAGUGGUAGAGCAUUCAACUGCAGAUCGAAAGGUCUCUGGUUCAAACCCAGGUGUCUCCU
This 71-nucleotide transfer RNA is filed under the name Trichonephila inaurata madagascariensis. RNAcentral's name for it is "tRNA-Cys". It matches the Rfam family "tRNA". Rfam says of the family: Transfer RNA (tRNA) molecules are approximately 80 nucleotides in length. Their secondary structure includes four short double-helical elements and three loops (D, anti-codon, and T loops). The record is from RNAcentral. Lineage: Eukaryota; Metazoa; Arthropoda; Arachnida; Araneae; Nephilidae.